UGGGGAAUUUUGGACAAUGGGCGAAAGCCUGAUCCAGCAAUGCCGCGUGUGUGAAGAAGGCCUUCGGGUUGUAAAGCACUUUUGUCCGGAAAGAAAUCCUUGGCUCUAAUACAGUCGGGGGAUGACGGUACCGGAAGAAUAAGCACCGGCUAACUACGUGCCAGCAGCCGCGGUAAUACGUAGGGUGCAAGCGUUAAUCGGAAUUACUGGGCGUAAAGCGUGCGCAGGCGGUUUGCUAAGGCCGAUGUGAAAUCCCCGGGCUCAACCUGGGAACUGCAUUGGUGACUGGCAGGCUAGAGUAUGGCAGAGGGGGGUAGAAUUCCACGUGUAGCAGUGAAAUGCGUAGAGAUGUGGAGGAAUACCGAUGGCGAAGGCAGCCCCCUGGGCCAAUACUGACGCUCAUGCACGAAAGCGUGGGGAGCAAACAGGAUUAGAUACCCUGGUAGUCCACGCCCUAAACGAUGUCAACUAGUUGUUGGGGAUCAUUUCCUUAGUAACGUAGCUAACGCGUGAAGUUGACCGCCUGGGGAGUACGGUCGCAAGAUUAAAACUCAAAGGAAUUGAC
This 565-nucleotide ribosomal RNA is filed under the name uncultured bacterium. Its description in RNAcentral is "partial 16S ribosomal RNA". It matches the Rfam family "Bacterial small subunit ribosomal RNA", at positions 355 to 914 of the family's 1533-position model. The record is from RNAcentral.